RNAcentral lists this ribosomal RNA (143 nucleotides) under uncultured eukaryote. RNAcentral describes it as "partial 18S ribosomal RNA". It matches the Rfam family "Eukaryotic small subunit ribosomal RNA", at positions 1299 to 1458 of the family's 1831-position model. The record is from RNAcentral.
UGGUGGAGUGAUUUGUCUGGUUAAUUCCGAUAACGAACGAGACCUCAGCCUACUAAAUAGCAGUCUCCAACAUCUUGUUGGCAGCUACUGUCUUCUUAGAGGGACUUUGGGUGAUUAGCCCAAGGAAGUUUGAGGCAAUAACA